RNAcentral lists this ribosomal RNA (226 nucleotides) under Salmonella enterica. Its description in RNAcentral is "partial 23S ribosomal RNA". It matches the Rfam family "Bacterial large subunit ribosomal RNA", at positions 1 to 227 of the family's 2925-position model. Lineage: Bacteria; Pseudomonadati; Pseudomonadota; Gammaproteobacteria; Enterobacterales; Enterobacteriaceae. The record is from RNAcentral.
GGUUAAGCGACUAAGCGUACACGGUGGAUGCCCUGGCAGUCAGAGGCGAUGAAGGGCGUGCUAAUCUGCGAUAAGCGCCGGUAAGGUGAUAUGAACCGUUAUAACCGGCGAUACCCGAAUGGGGAAACCCAGUGUGACUCGUCACACUAUCAUUAACUGAAUCCAUAGGUUAAUGAGGCGAACCGGGGGAACUGAAACAUCUAAGUACCCCGAGGAAAAGAAAUCA